Molecule: ribosomal RNA, 804 nt
Filed under: human gut metagenome
Description: bacterial SSU rRNA
Rfam family: Bacterial small subunit ribosomal RNA
Source: RNAcentral
AAGCAGACCCCGGAUGGAAGGCAGCCUGUAAGGGUGAACAGACGCUGAGGCACGAAAGCUGGGUAUCGAACAGGAUUAGAUACCCUGUAGUCCACGCAGUAAACGAAGAAUACCAACGGUUCGCGAUACAACGUAAGCGGUACAGCGAAAGCGUUAAGUAAUCCACCUGGGGAGUACGCCGGCAACGGUGAAACUCAAAGGAAUUGACGGGGGCCCGCACAAGCGGAGGAACAUGUGGUCUAAUUCGAUGAUACGCGAGGAACCUUACCCGGGCUCAAACGCAGGGGGAAUAUAUAUGAAAGUAUAUAGCUAGCAAUAGUCACCUGCGAGGUGCUGCAUGGUNGUCGUCAGCUCGUGCCGUGAGGUGUCGGCUUAAGUGCCAUAACGAGCGCAACCCCUAUCGACAGUUACUAACGGGUCAAGCCGAGGACUCUGUCGAGACUGCCGGCGCAAGCCGCGAGGAAGGUGGGGAUGACGUCAAAUCAGCACGGCCCUUACGUCCGGGGCGACACACGUGUUACAAUGGCAGGUACAGAAGGCAGCCAGUCAGCAAUGACGCGCGAAUCCCGAAAACCUGUCUCAGUUCGGAUUGGAGUCUGCAACCCGACUCCAUGAAGCUGGAUUCGCUAGUAAUCGCGCAUCAGCCAUGGCGCGGUGAAUACGUUCCCGGGCCUUGUACACACCGCCCGUCAAGCCAUGGAAGCCGGGAGUACCUGAAGCAUGCAACCGCAAGGAGCGUACGAAGGUAAUACCGGUAACUGGGGCUAAGUCGUAACAAGGUAGCCGUACCGGAAGGUGCGGCUG